This 342-nucleotide unclassified non-coding RNA is filed under the name uncultured fungus. RNAcentral describes it as "sequence contains ITS1". The stretch from base 1 to 99 matches the Rfam family "5.8S ribosomal RNA", at positions 50 to 154 of the family's 154-position model. Lineage: Eukaryota; Fungi. The record is from RNAcentral.
GAAAUGCGAUACGUCAUGCGAAUUGCAAAACCAGUGAGUCAUCAAAACUUUGAACGCAACUUGCACUUCCCCCUGGGGAGUAUGCCUGUUGGAGUGCUUGUUCAUCCCCACCAUCAACCCCAUUUCUCAGAUCUGGAGUAGAUGAAGUCCACCUAUUCAUCGCAAGGUGAAUAGAGUGCAGAUGAAUAAAAAUCAAAUAUCCGAUCCUCGGUUGUCAUGACCCGGGAACGCGACGUCAAAGUGUCUAACACUUGAAUCGUGUUCUCAGUCUUGGCGUUAAGACCAAGUCCCGGUAUUUUUCGAUCGAGCCUCCAAUCAGACAAGAAUACCCGCUGAAUUUAA